This 441-nucleotide ribosomal RNA is filed under the name Vallonia costata. Its description in RNAcentral is "partial 16S ribosomal RNA". Lineage: Eukaryota; Metazoa; Mollusca; Gastropoda; Stylommatophora; Valloniidae. The record is from RNAcentral.
AGCUUAAGUAUAAUAUUUAAAGUUAAGCCUGCCCAGUGAGUUUUCUUUAACGGCCGCAGUACUUUGACUGUGCUAAGGUAGCAUAAUAAAUUGGCUUUUAAUUUAAGUCGGGAAUGAAAGGGCUAAUGGGGAAAUUCUGUCUUACUUUAACUAUUUAAAAUUUACUUAAUAGGUGAAAAUUCCUAUAUUUUUAUGAUAGACGAGAAGACCCUAAGAAUUAUUAUUACAUAUUAAUUUAUUUAGUAAUCAUUUUUGUUGGGGCAACAUAGUUGGAAAACCAACUAAACAUAAAAUUUUAUAUGAAAGUUUUAUCAUGAAUAAUUUUAAUUACCUUAGGGAUAACAGCAUAAUUAAUUUAUUAGAUUGUGACCUCGAUGUUGGACUAAGGACAUUAAUAAUUAGCCGUUGUUAAUGAUAGUUCUGUUCGAACUUUUUAACCUU